RNA transcript from Nematostella vectensis (starlet sea anemone), 2382 nucleotides. It is a transcript of the gene named beta-4C adrenergic receptor, with no coding region annotated. Lineage: Eukaryota; Metazoa; Cnidaria; Anthozoa; Actiniaria; Edwardsiidae. The record is from RefSeq and is a predicted model, not a curated record. The transcript has 3 exons.
AAUCCACAAAUAGGCAUACAUGCAAAGCGUAAUUUAUUUAAAUAUUUAUAACAUAUCGGAAAAGGAGAGGGACGACCUACCAAAUUCAUUUGCCUUCUUCUUUUGUUAAUUGUUAAGAUAAAAGUGAAUCUGUGAGUGUCCUGUUGUGAGUCACUUAGUUUACUAAAAGGGACAAGCUGUGUUUGCCUCCAGUUGCUUCAGAGGGCCAAUUGCACAGCUUUUUAUUAAGAAAGUGUUGACGUUUUUUAAACAUUAGUAUAUCGACUUGGAGCCUUACAAAAACAACCGCCCUGCUCGAGGUUCCUUUGAGAUGAUAAUAAUCUUCGAAAAAAAAAAAAAAACAGAAUACGCACCAGCAGAAGUUAUAGCUUUGGGCUGAGAAAUGGGAGCGCGCAACUUAAUAUAUUUCUAUCUGAGACUACAGUUAAAGAGAGAGUUGCUAGACAACAAAUCAACAAAUUGAGGUGUUGAUGACCUGUUUUAAUACAUUAAAAUACGUCAAAGAGAAGCAAAAACCGAUUAGAAUUUCUUUUAACGAAUCGUGAGAGGGAAGACCAAGGGUGAAAAAGGUCAAAAGUUGACGUAGAAAAGGGAAGCAGAUACAUAAAAAAACAUGAUUCAAUCAUAAUCAACAUGUAGUGGAAUAAACAUAACUACAAACUACAUAGGGAAGACAAAACAACCGGUGCUUCAUAUAGCAAAAGAUUGCAACAUCGAGAGACAGUACAACGGUUUAUCCUGCAAAGGACUUUUUUUAAAUUUAGAAGCCGAUCGUCUAUCAUUGUUAUAUCUACCAAUCGAACGUUUGAUCUGUUCUAGCAAUGAACUCUUCGAUCGAGUGUUCUAGCUGGGCCAAGUCAUUCGACCCCAAGCCCGUUACCGCCGUUUUCUGGAGCUACAUUUUCUCGUGUAUUCUAACUGUCCUAAUGCUGACACCAGCGGUUUUUCUCAAUUUCUUGGUCAUUUUCGUAAUUACCCGAACACGCUCUCUGUGCAAGCCAUCGAACAUGCUUUUGUGCAGUCUGGCGCUGGCGGAUUUUGGUACUGGAAUACUGGCUCAACCGCUUUAUACCACUCACAUCGUGACGGAAAUAGAGGGUGACGUGACUUUAUUUUGCGUGACAGGCGCCAUUACGGCAUUCGUGUCGUACACACUUGCGGGCGCAGGCCUUUUCACCUUGACAGCCAUCAGCGUCGAUCGUUGCCUAGCAAUCUACAGGCCAAUGAAAUAUCGUGCUUGUGUGACACCUAAAGCCGUGGUUCAGGCUUCGGUUUGCAUGUGGAUUGUUGCAGCUUUCGGCGCGUCAACGCGUCUCUUACUCAACGUUAAAUACUUCAUGUUCUCGCUCGGGGUCACGAUGUUCGUUUCCCUGACAACGAUCUUGGUUUGCAGCGUUCUAGCGUUCCGUUCUUUGAAGACACAAAAGGAACAGAUCGCAGGGGAGAUGCGACUUCACCAAGGCAAACAAAUGGUACAACUGGCUUCAUACCGGAAGUACCUCAAAACCAUGCUUAUACUACUAGGGUUCGUUCUUCUCUGCUAUGUGCCUUUCGUGACUGUUACCAUGAUAACCGCAAUGAAUGGCAUGGAAAGUAACGCAACGCGAGCUGCGUGGAACGUUGCCGAUAGUAUUGGUUACAUGAACUCCACUAUUAAUCCAGUUGUCUAUUGCUUGAGGAUUCCGGAGAUCAGGAGAGCGUGUCAGAAGGCGUUGCGUGACAUGGGGGCGAGAAGGGGUGGGAAUGUGGUAGUACCGGCAAAGAGCGUUACGGUCAGUCUGAGGCAGCGGUCACAUGUCCUAGAGGCUAUUCCUGAAGAAGGGAGUACAGCGAAUCUCGAGCCUCCAGUCUGCUGACGUCAGACGCCGCAUUGCAGACUCUUGCAAGUUAAAAGUAGUGGUAUAAGAUACUGUGUAUCUUAUGUUGCAGUGGUAUAACAUGAGUUUGACUUAAAGGAGGAGCGUCACGGUAACUCGCAAGACGGGAAGCCUGUGUACUAUUUUUCAAAAUAGCCAAUCAGAGAUGUCCAUUAUACGAGAGUAUCGUGUAACAAAGAUUGCAAGAGAAUCGCGCUAGUUAAUCGUACUGUUUGUUUUGACUCAAACCCCCUGAAAAUUCUCUUAUUUCUUGAUAAAAUAAGCGUCUUUAUGUUUUCAGCGCUUGGAGAGGUCCCUGGAGGCCAUAUCGAAGACUCUAAGGCAAUGUUGUGGUGAUGACUGUGACUGUGACUAGGAAUAAGCAGAGACCACCAGUAGCAAAAAUAUCCGAGAUAAAGAGGAGACAAGAGAGAGAUAGAAAAAGCAAUACUCGAACGGAGAGAAUGACAUAUAUAUAUACGUCAAGUUGUGUUCACAUAUGCAAUAAAUAAACUUUGCACUAAAA